GAGAAGCUGUUCUCUGUCCUCUACACCACAUUUUACCCAACAGCUGUAAAAACCAGUUCAUUGCAGGGCCACACUCACCAAUGCUUUGCCCUGACCUCCGUGGGGAUGAAGUGAUUUGAGCGCCUCCUGCUGUCCAACCUCAGUUCCAUUACUCACCCUCUCCUGGACCAGCUGCGGUUCAUGUGAGAAGUAAGCUCGCCUAGAAGAAUAUAGUCUGAAAGGCUACACAACAUGCCUACUUCACUACAACAGGCCACCGGACAUAACUUCCUGGAUUAACGUGUAUUUUUACCACAAACAUGAUCUUUGC
Molecule: long non-coding RNA, 310 nt
Organism: Micropterus salmoides (largemouth bass)
Lineage: Eukaryota; Metazoa; Chordata; Actinopteri; Centrarchiformes; Centrarchidae
Exons: 3
Source: RefSeq, a predicted model, not a curated record